This 593-nucleotide long non-coding RNA is filed under the name Hordeum vulgare. RNAcentral's name for it is "long non-coding RNA (HVUL_LNC000645)". Lineage: Eukaryota; Viridiplantae; Streptophyta; Magnoliopsida; Poales; Poaceae. The record is from RNAcentral.
UUCAUAGCAAGUUGAUACGCCGAGUUGAUGCAAGACUUUCUUCUUCACUUUUACCCCUUUGAAACCUACCACAAUAUUAUUUUCCACCUUUAUGAUAUAUCCAUGGUUCACGCUCAUGUAUUGAGUGCGUAAUAAAAAGCUGAAGCGUGAUAAAAAGUAUGAUCCAAUUGCUUGAUUUCACACUGGGGUGCUCAUGAUUUAUACCUUAUGCUAGGAAACCAAGCAUGACUAGCUAUAUGAUUUUGUAGGGAUAGCUUUCUUUAGUGUUGAUAUUUUGAAAGACACGAUUAUUUGUUGGAUGCCUCGGUAUUAAUGUCUUUAUGUCGAAUGAUAGACUAUUGCCUUGAAUCACUUGUAUCUUAAUAUUUAUGCCAUGAUUAGAUAUAUGAUAAAUAUUAUGCUAGGUAGCAUUGCACAUCAAAAAUUAUCUUCUUUAUCAUUGACCUACUCGAGGAUGAGCAGGAAUUAAGCUUGGGGAUGCUGAUACGUCUCUGUGGUAUCUAUAAUUUUUUAUUGUACCAUGCCAAUAUUAUACAACUUUCACAUAUUUUUUGCAACAUUUUAUAUGGUUUAUUGGACUAACAUAUUGAUAU